Non-coding RNA from Fusobacterium sp. CAG:439, 74 nucleotides. NCBI's taxonomy places the organism in Bacteria, Fusobacteriati, Fusobacteriota, Fusobacteriia, Fusobacteriales, Fusobacteriaceae. The record is from Rfam.
GUGCCUGUAGCUCAGCCGGAUAGAGCGUUUCCCUCCGAAGGAAAAGGUCGUGCGUUCGAAUCGCAUCAGGCACG